ACGGGAAGCAGCAGUAGGGAUCUUCCGCAAUGGACGAAAGUCUGACGGAGCAACGCCGCGUGAGUGAUGAAGGUUUUCGGAUCGUAAAGCUCUGUUGUUAGGGAAGAACAAGUGCGAGAGUAACUGCUCGCACCUUGACGGUACCUAACCAGAAAGCCACGGCUAACUACGUGCCAGCAGCCGCGGUAAUACGUAGGUGGCAAGCGUUGUCCGGAAUUAUUGGGCGUAAAGGGCUCGCAGGCGGUUUCUUAAGUCUGAUGUGAAAGCCCCCGGCUCAACCGGGGAGGGUCAUUGGAAACUGGGAAACUUGAGUGCAGAAGAGGAGAGUGGAAUUCCACGUGUAGCGGUGAAAUGCGUAGAGAUGUGGAGGAACACCAGUGGCGAAGGCGACUCUCUGGUCUGUAACUGACGCUGAGGAGCGAAAGCGUGGGGAGCGAACAGGAUUAGAUACCCUGGUAGUCCACGCCGUAAACGAUGAGUGCUAAGUGUUAGGGGGUUUCCGCCCCUUAGUGCUGCAGCUAACGCAUUAAGCACUCCGCCUGGGGAGUACGGUCGCAAGACUGAAACUCAAAGGAAUUGACGGGGGCCCGCACAAGCGGUGGAGCAUGUGGUUUAAUUCGAAGCAACGCGAAGAACCUUACCAGGUCUUGACAUCCUCUGACAACCCUAGAGAUAGGGCUUUCCCUUCGGGGACAGAGUGACAGGUGGUGCAUGGUUGUCGUCAGCUCGUGUCGUGAGAUGUUGGGUUAAGUCCCGCAACGAGCGCAACCCUUGAUCUUAGUUGCCAGCAUUUAGUUGGGCACUCUAAGGUGACUGCCGGUGACAAACCGGAGGAAGGUGGGGAUGACGUCAAAUCAUCAUGCCCCUUAUGACCUGGGCUACACACGUGCUACAAUGGACAGAACAAAGGGCUGCGAGACCGCAAGGUUUAGCCAAUCCCAUAAAUCUGUUCUCAGUUCGGAUCGCAGUCUGCAACUCGACUGCGUGAAGCUGGAAUCGCUAGUAAUCGCGGAUCAGCAUGCCGCGGUGAAUACGUUCCCGGGCCUUGUACACA
Molecule: ribosomal RNA, 1054 nt
Filed under: Bacillus pumilus
Lineage: Bacteria; Bacillati; Bacillota; Bacilli; Caryophanales; Bacillaceae
Description: bacterial SSU rRNA
Rfam family: Bacterial small subunit ribosomal RNA
Source: RNAcentral